ACUCGCAACCAUAUCACGUUGGAGAAACCGGUUCUCGUCUGAUCGCCGAAGUUAAGAAAUAUCGGGUCCAGUUAGUACUUGCAUGAAUGACCGGCUGGAAAUACCGGGUUUUGCAGCCU
Molecule: ribosomal RNA, 119 nt
Filed under: Echinostoma caproni
Lineage: Eukaryota; Metazoa; Platyhelminthes; Trematoda; Plagiorchiida; Echinostomatidae
Source: RNAcentral